This 301-nucleotide ribosomal RNA is filed under the name uncultured bacterium. RNAcentral describes it as "partial 16S ribosomal RNA". It matches the Rfam family "Bacterial small subunit ribosomal RNA", at positions 509 to 807 of the family's 1533-position model. The record is from RNAcentral.
CAGUAGCCGCGGGAAAACGAGGGGAGCUAGCGUUGUUUGGAAUUACUGGGCGUAAAGCGCGCGUAGGCGGCUUUUUAAGUCAGAGGUGAAAGCCCGGGGCUCAACCCCGGAAUUGCCUUUGAAACUGGAAAGCUAGAAUCUUGGAGAGGUCAGUGGAAUUCCGAGUGUAGAGGUGAAAUUCGUAGAUAUUCGGAAGAACACCAGUGGCGAAGGCGACUGACUGGACAAGUAUUGACGCUGAGGUGCGAAAGCGUGGGGAGCAAACAGGAUUAGAUACCCCUGUAGUCCCUGUCUCUUAUAC